GAUGAACGCUGGCGGCGUGCCUAAUACAUGCAAGUCGAGCGAACGGACGAGAAGCUUGCUUCUCUGACGUUAGCGGCGGACGGGUGAGUAACACGUGGAUAACCUACCUAUAAGACUGGGAUAACUUCGGGAAACCGUAGCUAAUACCGGAUAAUAUAUUGAACCGCAUGGUUCAAAAGUGAAAGACGGUCUUGCUGUCACUUAUAGAUGGAUCCGCGCUGCAUUAGCUAGUUGGUAAGGUAACGGCUUACCAAGGCAACGAUGCAUAGCCGACCUGAGAGGGUGAUCGGCCACACUGGAACUGAGACACGGUCCAGACUCCUACGGGAGGCAGCAGUAGGGAAUCUUCCGCAAUGGGCGAAAGCCUGACGGAGCAACGCCGCGUGAGUGAUGAAGGUCUUCGGAUCGUAAAACUCUGUUAUUAGGGAAGAACAUAUGUGUAAGUAACUGUGCACAUCUUGACGGUACCUAAUCAGAAAGCCACGGCUAACUACGUG
This 497-nucleotide ribosomal RNA is filed under the name uncultured bacterium. Its description in RNAcentral is "partial 16S ribosomal RNA". It matches the Rfam family "Bacterial small subunit ribosomal RNA", at positions 28 to 507 of the family's 1533-position model. The record is from RNAcentral.